This 698-nucleotide ribosomal RNA is filed under the name uncultured bacterium. Its description in RNAcentral is "bacterial SSU rRNA". It matches the Rfam family "Bacterial small subunit ribosomal RNA", at positions 10 to 718 of the family's 1533-position model. The record is from RNAcentral.
AGUUUGAUCCUGGCUCAGGACGAACGCUGGCGGCGUGCUUAACACAUGCAAGUCAAGGGGGCCCAGCAAUGGGCAACCGGCGAACGGGUGCGUAACACGUGAGCAACCUACCGAACUGUGGGGGAUAGCCGGCCUAACGGCCGAGUAAUACCGCAUACGCACUCAGAGAGGCAUUUCAUUGAGAGGAAACCUACGGGACAGAUCGAGGGGCUCGCGGCCUAUCAGCUAGUUGGCGAGGUAACGGCUCACCAAGGCAACGACGGGUAGCUGGUCUGAGAGGAUGGCCAGCCACAUUGGGACUGAGAUACGGCCCAGACUCCUACGGGAGGCAGCAGUGGGGAAUCUUGCGCAAUGGCCUAACGGCUGACGCAGCGACGCCGCGUGUGGGAUGAAGCUCCUCGGAGUGUAAACCACUGUUGCCCGGGACGAACAGCUCGAUUAGUCGAGCCUGACGGUACCGGGUGAGGAAGCACCGGCUAACUCCGUGCCAGCAGCCGCGGUAAUACGGGGGGUGCGAGCGUUGUCCGGAAUCACUGGGCGUAAAGGGCGCGUAGGUGGUUUGAUAAGGGUGUGGUGAAAGUCCGGGGCUCAACCCCGGAUCUGCCGUGCCGACUGUCAAACUCGAGGACUGUAGAGGCAGACGGAAUUCCGGGUGUAGCGGUGGAAUGCGUAGAGAUCCGGAGGAAGACCGGUGGCGA